Molecule: long non-coding RNA, 7168 nt
Filed under: Homo sapiens (human)
Lineage: Eukaryota; Metazoa; Chordata; Mammalia; Primates; Hominidae
Description: HSALNT0220129
Source: RNAcentral
CAACGUGCAGGUACACAUGUACUUAGGUAUACAUGUGCCAUGUUGGUUUGCUGCACCCAUCAACUCAUCAUUUACAUUAGGUAUUUCUCCUAAUGCUAUCCUUCCCCCAGCCCCCCACUCCUCGACAGGCCCCAGUGUGUGAUGUUCCCCACCCUGUAUCCAAGUGUUCUCAUUGUUCAAUCCCCACCUAUGAGUGAGAAUAUGUGGUGUUUGGUUUUCUGUCUUUGUGAUAGUUUGCUGAGGAUGAUGGUUUCCAGCUUCAUCCAUGUCCAUUUCUUAAAAUAAAACAGCAAUUAAGUUCGCCAUAUUGAUUGACUCUUCCUUUCAGAAAGAUUUAUCUGUAGCAUGAAAUGCUGUUGGAUAACAUUUUACCCACAGUAGAACGUCUUUCUAAAUUGGAGGCAAUCCUCUCAAAUUCUGCAAUGGCUUUAUCAACUAAGUUUAUGGAAUAUUCUAAAUCUUUUGUUGCCAUAUCAACAAUGUUCACAGCCUCUUAACCAGGAAUAGAUCCCAUCUCAAGAAACCACUUUCUUUGCUUAUUCAUAAGAAGCAACUCUUCCCCUGUUCAAGUUUUAUCAUGAGAUUGCAGCAAUUCAGUCACAUCUUCAGGCUCCACUAGUUCUUUUGCUAUUUCUACUACAUCAGCAAUUACUGCCUCCACUGAAAUCUUGAACCACUUAAACUCAUCAUAAGUGAAUCCACUUCUUCCAAACUCCUGUUAAUAUUAGUAUUCUGACCUCCUCCCAUGAAUCAUGAAUGUUCUUAAUGUCAUUGACAAUGUUUAAUCCUUUCCAGAGGUUUUAAAUUUACUUUGCUCAGAUCCAUCAGAAGAAUCACUAUCUGUGGCAGCUAUAACUUUGAAAUGUAUCUCUUAAAUAAGAAGACUUGACAGUCAAAAUUGCUCCUUGAUCCAUGGGCUGAGGAGUGCAUAUUGCAUUAGCAGGCAUGAAAACAACAUUCAUUUUCUUGUUCAUCCCCAUAAGAGUUCUUGAGUGACUAGGUGCAUUGUCAAUGAGCAAUAACAUUCACCAUAACAGAUAUAAUAAUAAUGAAAAAGCUUGAAAUCUUACAAGAAUUAUAAAAAUGUGACACAUAGACACAAAAUGAGCCCAUGUUGUUGGAAAAAUCACUCCAAUAGACUUGCUCAACACAGGAUUACCAUAAACCUUUAAUUUGUGAAGAAGAAGAAGAAAAAAGCAAUAUCUGUGAAGUGCAAUAAACCACAGCAUAAUAAAAUGAGGUAUGUCUUGCAGUCUUUGGGAAACAACAAAUACCCAAAUGAACAUUAAUGCGACACAGUUCUUGACUUCCAGGUGAGGCUGGAAAAGGGCCAAGUAGUUGCUGAGUGUUGGAGUGUGGGAGGAAUCUUGUGAGGGCUGGGAACAAGGAAAUUUUUAACUUUGUUCUAACAUCUUAUCCCUGGUCUCAGAACAUGAGUUAUAUGUAAAAUCCUGCCUUUCUUCUCUAAAUUUCCAUCUUUAUCAUGAUUUACUCUCCUGUCUGGGAGAGACUUCCUAAGCCAAGAUUCAAGCCGAAAGUAGUGUUUUAUCACAGCAGUUUUCUUUCCACAAUAUAUAAGAGUGUGGGCAAUACUCUCUCAAUUUACCUUGUCCCUUUUGCCUGCUACUUAAAAAUAACACAAUUCAUAACCCUUGAAAUAUAAAAAUGUUGCUCUUCUUUCCAAUUCUAACUGGCAAUAGCAAUCAUAGACUGUGGUGGGCAGAAUCUGAAAUGACCCCCAGUGAUCUCUGUCUGCUGUAUAAUCUCCUCGCCUUGAGUGUGGUUGGGAUCUAGUGAGUUGCUUCUAACUAACAGAAUAUGGCAAAAAAUGAUAGGAUGUCACUUCCAAGAUAAGGGUUAAAAGCUGUGACUUCUGUCUUGCUCUCACUCCCUCACUGGCACUCUCCUUUGCCCUAUCACUUGCUCAUUCUGUUGAAGCCAGCUACCAUGUUGUGAACUACCCUAUGAAGAGGCCCACACAGCAAGGAACUGAAAGAAGCAUCUGGCCAUCAGUCAGUAGGCAACCAAAGCCUUCAUCCAAAGCUCAGGAGAACUAAAUCCUGCCAACCAUGUGAGCUUAGAAAUGGAUAAUUCUCCAGUCAAGUCUUCCGAUGAGACUAUUAAGCCCAGCAGCUUAGUCCAUUCAGGCUACUAUAACAAAUACCAGAAAUUGGGUAGCCUGCAAACAACACAAAUUUAUUUCUCAUAGUUCUAGAGGCUGAGAAGUUCAAGAGCAAGGUGAUGGCAGAUUCAGUGUCUGAUAAGGGCCUGCUCUCUGGUUCACAGACAGAGCCUUUUUGCAGUGUCCUCACAUGGUGAAAGGCACUGCUAGCUCUCUAGGUUAUCUCUUAUAAGGGCACAAAUCCCAUUCAUGAGGGCUUUGCACUUAUGAACUAAUCACCUCCCAAAGUCUGUAUCUCCAAAUACCAUUACGUUGGGGAUUAGAAUUUCAACAUAUGAAUUUUGGUGAGACAUAAGUAUUCAGUAAAUUGCACUCAACCUUGUGAGAGACCCAGAGCAAAGAACCCAAUGAAUCCAUGCUCACUGAAAUUAUAAGGUAAUAACUAUUUUAAGAAACUAUGUUUGAAAGUGAUUGUUAUACAUCAAUAGAUAAUUAAUGGACUCUUACUAAACUAUGCCACAAAUUUGACAUUGCAACAAAUCAAUUCAUCUUAUCAGCCCCACCUGCAUUCCUUCACCCUCGUUAAUGAAGCCAAUUCUAUCCUAUGUGCAUUGUUUUAUGACAUCAAUCAAUUUCCAUAUUCUCUUGGCCUGCUCCUUAGUCUACUCUGCAAUCCUCACCCCGCAACCUCAUUUAUGUUAUUGGCACCUUUGUGACUCCUAGUAUUUUCCUUUCUUCUUGUUCUCCAUAAGCCUCACACAUUUUCCCCAUAGUAGAUGUUCAGUAAAUUAUUGUGAAUGUAUUUAAAUGUCCACAUUAAUUUCAAAUUAUUCAUUCAAAAUAUUUACUGAGUACCUAUUAAGUGGUAGGCACUAAGGAUGCAGUGGUGAAUAAAAAUAGACACAAGCCCUGCCUUCAUGGAGCUUAUCAUCUAGAGGGAGGGUGACAGUGAUACCAGUCAAUUACAUGAGCAAAUGUGUUAAGUAUUAAGUUUCCUGAAGGGGAGGUAAAGGUGCUAUAAGAAUACUAGAAAUAAAAGAAUUUUAUCACAUGAAGGAGAUUAGAGGAGAUUCCCUGAGAAAGUGGUGACUGAAGUAAGCUCUCAAAGGUGCAUAAAGGGAGUUAACUUGGUAAAAGUGAGCUGGGGGGUUGAUGAGGAUGGAACCACUCAAGACAGUGGGACCAUCAUGUGCAAAGUGGAAUAUUUGCAGCUCUUAAAGAGAGCCAGUGAGUCUUGAUGAUAAAGGGCUAGGGACAUAUGAUGUGAGAUGAGUGGAUAAGUGGGUGAGGGCCAGACCUGAGCCUGUCUUAUUCUAGGCCAACUUUGAAUAAUGGAAAUUCAGGACUAUCCAGAAAUUUCUCCAUUCCAACUACAUCCUCUUCGUAGCACUCCAGCCACGCAGGUCUCAAAUAUUCAUUGGAACCCUGUUAGGAAGUUGCUUUUUGAAACUUCUUUUGAUGACACCGUUAAAAGAAAUCAUGACCAUGAAAAUGUGAAAAGACCCAGCCCUUGACCACAAAGGUGUCUGUUCUAGUAGGGACUAACCUUGGAAAAAACUUAACAGUCUCUGAAUCACAGCACGGCUGCACACAAAGUCAUAAACUAAGUGCCAUAAGAGAACUCCAAUUUAAAUAACCCUAGGGGGAAAAAGGAGCUGAGUAAGGGGUAUAUCCCACUUGGUCUUGGCUUCAUCUAAGCCAUUUUCAAGCCUCUCCUGGGCUAGCCAGUCUCAGGCCUCUCAAAGAUGUCUUGUGGCACAGUCUGGAUCAUGAGAAGAGAGAAAGAGAUCUCAAAAAAUAGAAAUAGAAACAAAGACCCAUGAAACUGGUGGAAGACAGAAAGGGCGGAAGGAACCAAGGAUACUUCUAUAGAAGUCUGUACUGAAUAGCUCAAAGUUACUGUUCUCUUUGGGAUGCUGCAGCCAUUUUGCUCAUGUUACAUGGAAGUGAUAGGGGAUGGCAAGCAUAUAUGACCUCUGUGCCCGGCACAAAUUGAUGCUCAUAAUAGACACAUUUUGAACCAUUUGGGGAAGGGUCAUAUAUUGUACACGAUGUCUUAAUCUAUAGGGGUGAUAGAGGUUUUCACAGAAGGAAUUGCAUAGUUUGUGAACUCAAGGUGACUUAGAGUUCUGUUUCUCUCUCCUCUUUCCCCUAACUUUGGAAUGCAGCCAGCCGGUAAGAAUGGCCUCACAAGACUUCCUGUGUUAGGCUAGGAGGUAUGCGCAGAAGAGGCAGUGUGUGAGCCCCUCAGGGAAAGCUCUCUACUCUUUAACUCUAUUUGGCCCUACCUUCCCCCUCUUGAACUCAGCCUUUAUUACUCAGAAUUUCAAUAGAUCUUAAGCAACCAUGACAGUCUUCAGCAGUGCUGACUGCAGGAUUUUAGGCUCAAACACAACCAUCCAUGGAAUGAAAACUUGAAGAGUAAAUUCCAAAUAUGCCAUAAUAUUGGGAAACUGUCCACAUGGAAUUUUUAGACGUGUACAGAUUUUCACUAAUAAAAAUAACCACCAUUUGUUAAUUGUGUUCCUGGCACACCAUUCUAUAUGUAUUAUCUCACUCAAUCCACAUACAGAGCCCUUUAAAAAGGUACUAUUAUCUUUAUUUUACAGAUGGAGAAGCCAAAGCUCAGAAAGUUUAAGAAACCUUCUCCAAGAUACAGAGUAAGUAGCAGAGGUAGAAUUUUAACUCAGGUGAGUCUAUUUCUGGGAACCAACAGCUUAACCCUAAUGUUAUUUUAUCUGUAAAGCCUUGCAUGAUAUACCCAUUCACUAUGCCCAUAUUGGACUUUGAACCCAUUUAUAUUAAUAUGCAAAAUAUUAUAUAAUAUUAAUUAUCAUUUAGGAUUUUGUGAAAUCCUCUUUGAAGGUAUUCUCUAGCACUGUGCCUGGCAUAUGGUGACCCCUCCAAUAUUUAUAGAAAAAAUGAGUGUGCAUCAAGGUAAUUUGUCCAUUCCAGGAAUAUGGCAUGGACUAAUUUUAGAGAAAUUAAUAGCAAUUAUGCCAAAGAGCCAAUCAGAAACUGCUUAGUCACCUCUGCUUCUGACCCCUGAAGAGGACAUUCAUCUCUGAGAUAGGUACUCAUCCUCUUCAGUGAUUACCACAGGGACUUGGAGGCCCCUUCAAAGCUAAAACCUCCUCUCACCAUGGCCCAGGCAACAUCAUCAAAACAUCUUGUCUGAGCUCAGAGCCUGGGACCCUAGCCACACACUCCUGUCUUCUGAAGAAACAUCUUUCUUCACAGGGCAGGACCUAGGAAGCAUGAUUUAUCACGAAUCAGGGAAAACCCAGGGAAAGUGAGGGCUGCUGUGGUUUCUCCUCUUCCUGUGGAAAGGUCAGUUGAUCCUGGGCCUGAGCUCUCCCAUGGAGCCUGGGAUGCUCGCCUGAUGUCACUGAUCUGUUCACUUGGCUUCACAGCCUCUCCUUCUCCUCCCCCCAGGGCCAGGAUAACACCUCAGGGGACUCACAUCUGAUUCAUACCAGACGUCGAGAGGAAGGAAAUGAAAAGUGAGGACAGACAUUCCUUCCCUCGGCUGAGUGGAAGUCCCAGUAGUCAUAAUAACUAGCAGUCACUGAACAUGUGUGGUAUGCCAGCCACUGUGCUAAGGACUAUAAUGCACAGUAAAUGUUAACUCUUCCAGUUACUGAGUGCUUACUCUGUACCAGCCACUAUUCCAGGAGCUUUACAAGUAUUAUUUCAUUUAAUCCUUGUGACAACCCCAUGAGAUGAAUCCUAUUAUUAUCACCAUUUUACAGAUAGGAAAACUGAAGUAGGGAGAGAAGAAUUAACUUUCCCAGGGCCACAGAGCUGAAAUGUGAUAGAAGAAGGUUUGAACUUAGACAGCCUGGCUUGAGAAUCCAUUCAUUUAACUGUUAAAAUAUAUGAACAAAUUCUUACAAGUCCUCUGUGGUGAUUACCACCUUCCCAUUUUCAGAUGAGGAAGCUGAGAUUCUGCUAAUGUUAAAUGACUGGGGUGAGAUGUGGAAGCAACUAACUGGGGUAGGAAGAAUGUGAUUUCAUUCUGGUCCCAGGUCCUUAGCUCCUUCCAUAGCAUCAUGUUGUGUAGGAGAUCGGUCAGAGUGGUAGGAGAAGCUAUAAGGAAAGACGCAAACCUUCUUGAAAGGUGGGAAGGUCUUGCAAAAGCUUCCGGAGAGAAUAAAGCUGAAGGCAGCUAAUUCUCUCACCCUGACGCUAAGGGCGAGGACUCCGUAACAAGGGAGUGUAAAGAAAUCUAUCUAGAAAAGCUUAUUUACUUAUGUCAUCCAGAGACCAACCUUUGAUCAUCCGCGCACAAGACUGCUCCCUGCAAGAGGGGACAACAGUGUUAAUUACUCACAGAUUGUGUUGGUUCCAGGCCUUUGACAUUAUACCAGUAUUGAAUAAAUACAUGCAGCUCUGGCUUAUCAGGGCUGCUGACUCUUCCGCCACCUAGUGCCAGGCAGUCCCCUAGCUACUCUCACGGGAUACCUGUGUCUGACUACUCCUUUCAUCUGUUGCUCAGCCAGGGUCUGUGGGACAAACCCUGCAGCUGGUGCUCCAUGUGAGGAAUGCUGCAACAGAUCACAAUGGAACCUUCAAAAAUGAAGGUGAAGAGACUGUGCAGUCAGUAAGUCAUUGGUGCCCACUCAGGAUUUCCAAGUUUGAGGGAAUUUUCAGGUUAGGGUUUCAUCAUGAGACAACAGUUAUCAGCUCAACAGAAACAGUAUAUAAAAAUAUUGAAAUAGCUGCUUAAAGCUAGCAGAGCCUCAGUUUCACAGGCUCAAUUAAGGGACCUAAAGCAAACUUUCCCAUAACCCAUAGUUCUGGAAGAAGGCAUGCUAGACAUAGAGGUCUGGGAACAAGUGGGUAGAAAUCUUUUUUUUUUAAAUUAUACUUUAAGUUUUAGGGUACAUGUGCACAACAUGCGGGUUAGUUACGUAUGUAUACAUGUGCCAUGUUAGUAUGCUGAACCCAGUAACUCGUCAUUUAACAUUAGGUAUAUCUCCAAAUGCUAUCCCUCCCCCAUCCCCCUACCCCACAACAGGCCCCGGUGUGUGAUGUUCCCCUUCC